GUCUCAUUAGCUCAAUGGCAGAGCUUAAUACUUCUAAUAUUAUGAUCCUAGUUCGAUUCUGGGAUGAGACU
Molecule: transfer RNA, 71 nt
Rfam family: tRNA
About the family: Transfer RNA (tRNA) molecules are approximately 80 nucleotides in length. Their secondary structure includes four short double-helical elements and three loops (D, anti-codon, and T loops).
Source: Rfam